GACGAACGCUGGCGGCGUGCUUAACACAUGCAAGUCGAACGGAAAGGCCCUGCUCUUGUGGGGUGCUCGAUUGGCGAACGGGUGUGUAUCACGUGAGUAUCCUGCCCUUGACUUUGGGAUAACUUCUGGAAACUGGGGCUAAUACCGCAUAUGAUCUCCUGCUGCGUGGUGGGGGUUGGAAAGUUUCGGCCGUUGGGGAUGGACUCGCGGCUUAUCAGCCUGUUGGUGGGGUAGUGGCUUACCAAGGCUUUGACGGGUAGCCGGCCUGAGAGGGUGACCGGCCACAAUAGUACUGAGAUACGGACCAGACUCCUACGGGAGGCAGCAGUGGAGAAUAUUGCACAAUGGGCGGAAGCCUGAUGCAGCAACGCCGCGUGCGGGAUGACGGCCUUCGGGUGGUAAACCGCUUUCGCCUGUGACGAAGCGUGAGUGACGGUAAUGGGUAAAAAAGCACCGGCUAACUACGUG
RNAcentral lists this ribosomal RNA (468 nucleotides) under uncultured bacterium. Its description in RNAcentral is "partial 16S ribosomal RNA". It matches the Rfam family "Bacterial small subunit ribosomal RNA", at positions 28 to 507 of the family's 1533-position model. The record is from RNAcentral.